Molecule: long non-coding RNA, 219 nt
Filed under: Capsicum annuum
Lineage: Eukaryota; Viridiplantae; Streptophyta; Magnoliopsida; Solanales; Solanaceae
Description: long non-coding RNA (CANN_LNC013283)
Source: RNAcentral
CGAGGGAAAUUGAUAGAAGCAGUAUAUCCAAUAGUGAUAGACUUCAAUCAAAUCAUCAGUCUUUUUCUAAAAAAUUUUGGAAUAUUUUAUGGUCUAUGAAUGUCAAAAAUAAGUAUAAACACUUCAUUCGUAAAUGAAUCGUGAAUGUGCUUCCUAUAAAUGAUAUGAUUUCUAAAAGGCUAAAAAAUAAUUGUAAUGUCUGUAAGAAUUGUGGUGAGG